This 253-nucleotide ribosomal RNA is filed under the name uncultured bacterium. Its description in RNAcentral is "partial 16S ribosomal RNA". It matches the Rfam family "Bacterial small subunit ribosomal RNA", at positions 524 to 776 of the family's 1533-position model. The record is from RNAcentral.
UACGGAGGGUGCGAGCGUUAAUCGGAAUUACUGGGCGUAAAGCGUGCGCAGGCGGCUGUUUAAGUUGGAUGUGAAAUCCCCGGGCUCAACCUGGGAAUUGCAUUUGAUACUGGGAAGCUAGAGUAUGGGAGAGGGUGGUAGAAUUCCAGGUGUAGCGGUGAAAUGCGUAGAGAUCUGGAGGAAUACCGAUGGCGAAGGCAGCCCCCUGGACUAAGACUGACGCUCAGGUGCGAAAGCGUGGGGAGCAAACAGG